Orcinus orca (killer whale) is the source of this 444-nucleotide long non-coding RNA. RefSeq lists it as uncharacterized. The record is from RefSeq and is a predicted model, not a curated record. Lineage: Eukaryota; Metazoa; Chordata; Mammalia; Artiodactyla; Delphinidae. The transcript has 3 exons.
AGAGAUCCCUUUGGACAAGUUCUGAGAAAUAGAACUAUUUCAUGUGACUGAGCACUCAACUACUUUAGCCAAUGGAGCUUGUGACCCAGUUGUGGGAGUGGAGUCAAGUUCCCUUUUAUUUCUUAGAGCGACUUUUUAAAAGGUCCUUCUUUCUAACUAAUCUGCCCUCUUGAAUUGGUGGUGUCUAAGGCCAUUCAUGUUGUGAUGGUCCAGCUGGUCUGGAAGAAAGCCUAGAGCCCCUUGUGACCUGAAUGCACCCACUUCCCAGACCACUCCCCUUCUGAGUCCUUGCCACAAUGACGAUGGAGAGACCACCCAACAGAUCUCCAGAUGAGGACACGUGAAGCUCACAGAGAUAGAAAGCAACUAGCCCAAGACUCAACAUUAGCAAAUGGAUUGGAUUCCAGGUUUGUGGACCCCAGAACCCAUUGCACUUUCCACCAU